This 209-nucleotide unclassified non-coding RNA is filed under the name Hevea brasiliensis (rubber tree). Lineage: Eukaryota; Viridiplantae; Streptophyta; Magnoliopsida; Malpighiales; Euphorbiaceae. The record is from RNAcentral.
CUUUUAUGAAAGUAGAAAAAGAAUACACUUCAUGGUCCAGAUAUUUUAUAUCAAAGUGGUAAUAGAACAUGUCCAACUUGUCAACCACAAAAAAAAAAAAAAAAAAAAAACACCAACCGGGGAGCCCUUCUUCUGGUUCUCCUCUCUUAAAUCAAAUUUUGAACUAGCUGCUGAUAGAAUCUGCUUUUGAAGGUCAUAGGAUGUAAGGG